This 685-nucleotide ribosomal RNA is filed under the name uncultured bacterium. Its description in RNAcentral is "bacterial SSU rRNA". It matches the Rfam family "Bacterial small subunit ribosomal RNA", at positions 56 to 731 of the family's 1533-position model. The record is from RNAcentral.
UGCAGUCGGACGGGAUUCGGGACAGAGCUUGCUUUGUCCUGAUGAGAGUGGCGCACGGGUGCGUAACGCGUGAGCAACCUGCCCCUGUCAGGGGUAUAGCCCCUCGAAAGAGGGAUUAACACCGCAUGACGAUAUCCCCCGGCAUCGGGGGAUGUCCAAAUAUUCAUAGGACAGGGAUGGGCUCGCGUGGCAUUAGCUAGUUGGUUGGGUAACGGCUGACCAAGGCUACGAUGCCUAGGGGCUCUGAGAGGAGAAUCCCCCACACUGGUACUGAGACACGGACCAGACUCCUACGGGAGGCAGCAGUAAGGAAUAUUGGUCAAUGGAGGGAACUCUGAACCAGCCAUGCCGCGUGCAGGACGAAGGCCCUACGGGUCGUAAACUGCUUUUGCCGGGGAACAACCGUCCCGACGUGUCGGGGCCUGAGUGUACCCGGAGAAUAAGGAUCGGCUAACUCCGUGCCAGCAGCCGCGGUAAUACGGAGGAUCCGAGCGUUAUCCGGAUUUAUUGGGUUUAAAGGGUGCGUAGGCGGCUUUCUAAGUCAGGGGUGAAAUACAGCGGCUCAACCGUUGCAGUGCCUUUGAUACUGGAGGGCUUGAAUGUGGUCGAAGGCGGCGGAAUGGGACAAGUAGCGGUGAAAUGCAUAGAUAUGUCCCAGAACCCCGAUAGCGAAGGCAGCUGCCUA